Molecule: long non-coding RNA, 314 nt
Filed under: Nicotiana tabacum (common tobacco)
Lineage: Eukaryota; Viridiplantae; Streptophyta; Magnoliopsida; Solanales; Solanaceae
Description: long non-coding RNA (NTAB_LNC015981)
Source: RNAcentral
ACCUAGAACUUAAAAGUAUUCCCGCAUUAUACUGAUGGGCGACCUAGAACUUAAAUGUAUUCCCGCAUUAUACUGGUGGGCGACCUAGAACUUAAAUGUAUUCCCACAUUAUACUGGUAGGCGACCUAGAACUUAAAAGUAUUCCCGCAUUAUACUGGUGGGCGACCUAGAACUUAAAAGUAUUCCCGCAUUAUACUGGUGGGCGACCUAGAACUUAAAGUAUUCCAAUUGCUUCCCCGUUCUUCCGAGAAAAUUUUCGACAAACGGCAGAAAAUUUUCUGCCCCGGUUUUUUUCGGUGGUUUCCCUGGCGUUG